UACAGAGGGUGCGAGCGUUAAUCGGAAUUACUGGGCGUAAAGCGCGCGUAGGCGGCUUUGCAAGUCGGAUGUGAAAUCCCCGGGCUCAACCUGGGAACUGCAUUCGAGACUGCAUUGCUCGAGUAUGGGAGAGGGAGGCGGAAUUUCCGGUGUAGCGGUGAAAUGCGUAGAUAUCGGAAGGAACAUCAGUGGCGAAAGCGGCCUCCUGGACCAAUACUGACGCUCAUGUGCGAAAGCGUGGGGAGCAAAC
Molecule: ribosomal RNA, 250 nt
Filed under: uncultured bacterium
Lineage: Bacteria
Description: partial 16S ribosomal RNA
Rfam family: Bacterial small subunit ribosomal RNA
Source: RNAcentral